Molecule: ribosomal RNA, 1324 nt
Filed under: metagenome
Description: bacterial LSU rRNA
Rfam family: Bacterial large subunit ribosomal RNA
Source: RNAcentral
CAGACGGAAUUGCCGAGCGGAUCCUUCGGGUGAGGCGUAGUAAUGAAUAUUCUUCCAAGAAAAACGAGUAUAGCAACCGGUACCGCAAACCGACACAGGUAGACGGGAUGAGUAUUCUAAGGCGCUUGGGUGAGCCGUGGAGAAGGAACUAGGCAAAUUGACGCUGUAACUUCGGGAUAAAGCGUACCAUCUUCGGAUGGUCUCAGUAAAAUGGUUCAACCAACUGUUUAACAAAAACACAGGGCCCUGCAAAAUCGUAAGAUGACGUAUAGAGCCUGAUACCUGCCCGGUGCUGGAAGGUUAAGGAAGGGUGUUCGGCGCAAGCCAAAGCUCCUGACUGAAGCCCCAGUAAACGGCGGCCGUAACUAUAACGGUCCUAAGGUAGCGAAAUUCCUUGUCGGGUAAGUUCCGACCUGCACGAAUGGUCUAAUGAGUUGAACGCUGUCUCCUCCACGAGCCCAGUGAAAUUGUAGUAUCGGUGAAGAUGCCGGUUACCCGCCACGGGACGGAAAGACCCCGUGAACCUUCACUAUAGCUUUGCAUUGAUUUUGAAUUACGGAUGUGUAGAAUAGUUGGGACUCUUUGAAGCAUUGCCGCCAGGUAGUGUGGAGAGGUCGUUGAAAUACCAACCUUCUUUGAUUUAGGAUCUAAUCCCUUGCGGGAAACAGUGCAUGGUGGGUAGUUUGACUGGGGUGGUCGCCUCCUAAAGAGUAACGGAGGCUUGCAAAGGUACCCUCAGUACGGUUGGUAAUCGUACGUAGAGCGCAUUAGUAUAAGGGUGCUUGACUGUGAGGCAUACAAGCCGAGCAGGGACGAAAGUCGGCUAAAGUGAUCCGGCGGUUCUGUAUGGAAGGGCCGUCGCUCAAAGGAUAAAAGGUACUCCGGGAUAACAGGCUGAUCUCCCCCAAGAGCUCAUAUCGACGGGGAGGUUUGGCACCUCGAUGUCGGUUCGUCACAUCCUGGGGCUGGAGAAGGUCCCAAGGGUUCGGCUGUUCGCCGAUUAAAGUGGCACGUGAACUGGGUUCAGAACGUCGCAAGACAGUUCGGUCCCUAUCUGUGGUGGGCGCAAGUAAAUUGAGAAGACGUGACCUUAGUACGAGAGGACCGGGUCGCACGUACCGCUGGUGUAUCAGUUGUGCCGCCAGGUGCAAUGCUGAGUAGCUAUGUACGGCAAGGAUAAACGCUGAAAGCAUCUAAGCGUGAAACCUUCUUCAAGAUGAGUUUACUUUUAAGGGUCGUCAGAGACUAUGACGUUGAUAGGCUACAGGUGUAAAACUGGUAACAGUAAAGCCGAGUAGUACUAAUUGCCCGUACGCUUUAACAA